RNAcentral lists this ribosomal RNA (301 nucleotides) under uncultured bacterium. RNAcentral describes it as "partial 16S ribosomal RNA". It matches the Rfam family "Archaeal small subunit ribosomal RNA", at positions 459 to 759 of the family's 1478-position model. The record is from RNAcentral.
CAGUCGCCGCGGUAAUACCAGCAGCCCAAGUGGUGGUCGCGAUUAUUGGGCCUAAAGCGCUCGUAGCCGGGCCGGUAAGUCCCUUGUGAAAUCGGACGGCCUAACCGUUCGGCGUGCAAGGGAUACUGUCGGUCUUGAGGCCGGGAGACGUCCGAGGUACUCCGGGGGUAGCGGUGAAAUGUUCUGAUCCUCGGGGGACCACCGGUGGCGAAGGCGUUCGACGAGAACGGGCCUGACGGUGAGGGGCGAAGGCUAGGGGAGCAAACGGGAUUAGAUACCCGCGUAGUCCCUGUCUCUUAUA